CGCCUCUUGAUUGAAUAGAAGGUCUAACCUGCCCACUGAAGAAUUGAAGGGCCGCGGUAUUUUGACCGUGCAAAGGUAGCAUAAUCAUUAGUCUUCUAAUUAAAGGCUGGAAUGAAGGGUUGAACGAGGUAUUAGCUGUCUCAUACAGAUGAAUUUGAAUUUAACGUUUUAGUGAAAAGGCUAAAAUAAAAUUGGAGGACGAGAAGACCCUAUAGAGCUUAACAAGAACCUUAAAGUGUUAUUUAGAAGAGUAACAGUAUUUUAGGAUAUUUGUUUUGUUGGGGUGACAGAAAAAUAAAGAAACUUUUUAUUAAAAGUACACUAAUGAGUGAGCUAUUGAUCCAUUAUUAAUGAUUAUAAGAUUAAGUUACCUUAGGGAUAACAGCGUAAUCCUUUUUGAGAGUUCUAAUCGACAAAAGGGUUUGCGACCUCGAUGUUGGACUAAGGGAAAUUUUGGGUGCAGAUGUUCAAAAAUUAGGUCUGUUCGACCUUUAAAACCUUACAUG
Molecule: ribosomal RNA, 506 nt
Filed under: Ichthybotus hudsoni
Lineage: Eukaryota; Metazoa; Arthropoda; Insecta; Ephemeroptera; Ichthybotidae
Description: partial 16S ribosomal RNA
Rfam family: Bacterial large subunit ribosomal RNA
Source: RNAcentral